Molecule: long non-coding RNA, 311 nt
Filed under: Elaeis guineensis (African oil palm)
Lineage: Eukaryota; Viridiplantae; Streptophyta; Magnoliopsida; Arecales; Arecaceae
Description: long non-coding RNA (EGUI_LNC053283)
Source: RNAcentral
ACAUGAAAAAUGACUCUGAUACCAGAUUGACUUGGGCCAAUGUGCAUAUGCAUGGAAACAGCAGUGCAUAUGUGUGAGUGUGAGUGGGUCGGAGCUACAGAGAUAUAAUAUUGUCACAGUAGUAAAGGCUACGUGCGUACAUGUAGAAGUAGCAAAUGGAUAGGAUAUGUGCGUACAUGUAGAAAUAGCAAAUGGAUAGAUGAACAAUAAGCUACAUGAUACUGCCUAUGUGCACCAUAUAACUAAUAGCUCAGAACCCAGGAGUAUGACAGUAAAAUGAACUAUGAUUGAGGAGUAAAGGAGGUCAAACC